AGAGAGAGACAUGCGCGCAUAUCAAUAAGCGGAGGAAAAGAAACUAACAAGGAUUCCCUUAGUAACGGCGAGUGAUGCGGGAAGAGCUCAAAUUUGAAAUCUUCAAGGUUUUACCUUGACGAAUUGUAGUUUAAAGAAGUGUUUUCUGCUGAAGUUUUGGUAAAAGUUCUUUGGAAUAGGACAUCAUAGAGGGUGAGAAUCCCGUAUUUGACCAUUAUUUUCAGCUUUGUGAUACACUUUCAAAGAGUCGGAUUGUUUGGGAAUGCAGUCCAAAAUGGGUGGUAAAUUUCAUCUAAAGCUAAAUAUUGGCGAGAGACCGAUAGCGAACAAGUACCGUGAGGGAAAGAUGAAAAGAACUUUGAAAAGAGAGUUAAACAGUACGUGAAAUUGUCAAAAGGGAAGCGUUUGACACCAGUGUUGUUUUCUCGAAAAUCAAUUAAAAAUGGCUCGAUUUUGUAUUGCUUGAGACCUUAAAAGCUCACUGUACAUUUUUCGUGUCUUUUUUAAUGCACUUUUCGUUUAACAAGUCAACAUCAGUUUCUUUUGUUGUAAAAGGGUCAUUGGAAGGUGGCUUUCUUUUCGGAGAAAGUGUUUAUAGCCUUUGGCCUCUGCAAUCGGAGAGACUGAGGUCUGCAGCGUAGAUCCCUUCGGGGUUAGAUACAUUUGUGCUAAGUUAUAGCCUUUUCAUAGACAACUUGUUGACUAUAAUCAGUCAUGUAGCUUACUCGCUUAUGCUAUUUUACCUACGCUUAGGAUGUUGAAGAUGUAGCACAUCAU
Molecule: ribosomal RNA, 777 nt
Filed under: uncultured Neocallimastigales
Lineage: Eukaryota; Fungi; Neocallimastigomycota; Neocallimastigomycetes; Neocallimastigales
Description: partial large subunit ribosomal RNA
Rfam family: Eukaryotic large subunit ribosomal RNA
Source: RNAcentral